This 1842-nucleotide ribosomal RNA is filed under the name Globobulimina sp. RNAcentral describes it as "bacterial LSU rRNA". It matches the Rfam family "Bacterial large subunit ribosomal RNA", at positions 731 to 2570 of the family's 2925-position model. The record is from RNAcentral. Lineage: Eukaryota; Foraminifera; Rotaliida; Buliminidae.
UACCCAUGGUCAGGGUGAAGUGCCGAGAAGUCGGCAUGGAGGCCCGAACCGUUGUCCGUUGCAAAGGGCUCGGAUGAACUGUGGGUCGGAGUGAAAGGCUAAUCAAACCUGGUGAUAGCUGGUUCUCCCCGAAAUGUAUUUAGGUACAGCCUUAUGUAUGCUUUUAGGAGGUAGGGCACUGAAUGGACUAGGGCUCUUCACGGGGUACCAAAUCCAAUCAAACCACGAAUGCCUAAAAGUUUAGCAUAGGAGUGAGACUGCGGGUGCUAAGAUUCGUAGUCGAGAGGGAAACAGCCCAGAACGUCAGCUAAGGUCCCCAAGAUAGAGCUAAGUGGGAAAGGAUGUAGGAUCGCACAAACAGCCAGGAGGUUGGCUUAGAAGCAGCCAUCCUUUAAAGAAAGCGUAAUAGCUCACUGGUCUAGUAAUCCUGCGCCGAAAAUUUAACGGGGCUUAAGCUCUACACCGAAGCUACGUAUUGUUCCGAUUUAUCGGAAUAGUGGUAGGGGAGCAUUCCACUGUUCGCUGAAGCUAUGGCGUAAGCCAUGGUGGAGAGUGUGGAAGAGAUUAUGUCGGCAUAAGUAGCACAAAAGUCUGUGAAAAACAGGCUCGCCGUAAACCUAAGGUUUCCUGGGGAAGGAUAUUCCGCCCAGGGUAAGUCGGUCCUAAGUCGAGGCCGAGAGGAGUAGACGAUGGACAACUGGUUAAAAUUCCAGUACCAUCUUUGAUGCGUUUGACCUACGGGGGGACGCAGAGGGAUAGGUUCAGCCGGGCGUUGGUUGUCCCGGUACAAGCCUGCAGGGUAGUGAUUAGGUAAAUCCGGUCACUAUAAGCCCGAAGGGUUACGUGGAUCCCGGGUAAUUCCGGGAGAACUGGCUGAUUCCGCACUGCCAAGAAAAACCUCUAUGGGAGUAUCAUGGAUGACCGUACCGCAAACCGACACAGGUAGGUGGGUAGAAGAUACCAAGGCGAACGAGUGAACCCUCGCAAAGGAACUCGGCAAAAUUGCCCCGUAACUUCGGGAGAAGGGGUACUUCUGCAAAGAAGUGACACUAAAGAGGCCCAAGCGACUGUUUAGCAAAAACACAGGAGCCUGCUAACUGGUAACAGGAUGUAUAGGCUCUGACGCCUGCCCGGUGCCGGAAGGUUAACAGGAGGGGUUAGGUCUUCGGACCGAAGCUCUGAAUCGAAGCCCCGGUAAACGGCGGCCGUAACUAUAACGGUCCUAAGGUAGCGAAAUUCCUUGUCGGGUAAGUUCCGACCUGCACGAAUGGCGUAACGACUUGGGCACUGUCUCUGCGAGGGGCUCGGCGAACUUGAGAUACCGGUGAAGACGCCGGUUACCUGCAACAAGACGGAAAGACCCCGUGAACCUUUACUACAACUUGACAGUGAAUUUUGGUACAGCAUGUGUAGGAUAGGUGGGAGACUAUGAAACCGGGACGCAAGUACUGGUGGAGUCAACCUUGAAAUACCACCCUUGUUUUAUUGAGGUUCUAACUAGUCCCCAUUAUCUGGGGAUAGGACAUUGUCUGGUGGGUAGUUUGACUGGGGCGGUCGCCUCCCAAACAGUAACGGAGGCGUUCAAAGGUCUGCUCAGGCUGGUCGGAAAUCAGCCUUCGAGUGCAAAGGCAUAAGCAGGCUUAACUGUGAGGCAUACAGGCCGAGCAGAUGGGAAACCAGGUCUUAGUGAUCCGGUGGCUCUGUGUGGAAGGGCCAUCGCUCAACGGAUAAAAGGUACUCCGGGGAUAACAGGCUGAUGACGCCCAAGAGUUCAUAUCGACGGCGUUGUUUGGCACCUCGAUGUCGGCUCAUCGCAUCCUGGGGCUGGAGCAGGUCCCAAGG